GCUACAUCAGAAGAUAAUUAAACUUAUAUUGAUUCUCUUAUCCACACAUUAAUUCAAAUACAUCGGAUGUAGCUAUAUAAGAGGUCACGCCCAUUUGACUACAGAAAGUAGCUACAUGAGAA
Long non-coding RNA from Haliotis rufescens (red abalone), 122 nucleotides. RefSeq lists it as uncharacterized. The transcript has 2 exons. Lineage: Eukaryota; Metazoa; Mollusca; Gastropoda; Lepetellida; Haliotidae. The record is from RefSeq and is a predicted model, not a curated record.